CCUACGGGGGGCUGCAGUGAGGAAUAUUGGUCAAUGGACGAGAGUCUGAACCAGCCAAGUAGCGUGAAGGAUGACUGCCCUAUGGGUUGUAAACUUCUUUUAUAUGGGAAUAAAAUGUUCCACGUGUGGGAUUUUGUAUGUACCAUAUGAAUAAGGAUCGGCUAACUCCGUGCCAGCAGCCUCGGUAAUACGGAGGAUCCGAGCGUUAUCCGGAUUUAUUGGGUUUAAAGGGAGCGUAGGUGGCUUGUUAAGUCAGUUGUGAAAGUUUGCGGCUCAACCGUAAAAUUGCAGUUGAAACUGGCAGUCUUGAGUACAGUAGAGGUGGGCGGAAUUCGUGGUGUAGCGGUGAAAUGCUUAGAUAUCACGAAGAACUCCGAUGGCGAAGGCAGUUCACUGGACUGCAACUGACACUGAGGCUCGAAAGUGUGGGUAUCAAACAGGAUUAGAUACCCUAGUAGUC
This 460-nucleotide ribosomal RNA is filed under the name uncultured bacterium. RNAcentral describes it as "partial 16S ribosomal RNA". It matches the Rfam family "Bacterial small subunit ribosomal RNA", at positions 338 to 795 of the family's 1533-position model. The record is from RNAcentral.